CGAGACAGGGUCUUGCUCUGUUGCCCAGACUGGAGUGCAGUGGCGCCAUCUCAGCUGACUGCAGAUUCAACCUUCUGAGCUCACGAAAUCCUCCCAUCUCAACCUCCUGAGUAGCUGGGACCACAGGCUGAGCACAGGGUUGCUCCAGGUGGGCCCAAAUGCUGAAGAGCCUCAUGUUAGAGUUUUUCACCUCUGCGAUGGAACUGUGGUGGACUCCAGUAUCAUCAUUCCAGGGAGGCAUAGCCGCACCAACUGUGUUCCCAGGUUUCACAUGGAGAAGGGUUUUAGAAAGUGCAGAUAGCCUUGAAACCAUUGGUUUCCUACCACUGUUUAUUUCAGCAUAACUUUUUU
This 351-nucleotide long non-coding RNA is filed under the name Homo sapiens (human). RNAcentral describes it as "non-protein coding lnc-ANKRD27-2:4". The record is from RNAcentral. Lineage: Eukaryota; Metazoa; Chordata; Mammalia; Primates; Hominidae.